GCCCCAGAGAGACCCCAGGGGGGUUUGGGGGACCCCAGGGGGGGCCGUGCUGACGCGGAUCCCCCCCAGAUCAUCACGUCGGAGGAGGCGGAGCGGCGGGGGCAGGUGUACGACCGGCAGGGCGCCACGUACCUCUUCGACCUGGACUAUGUGGAGGACGUCUACACCGUGGACGCCGCGCACUACGGCAAUAUCUCCCACUUCGUUAACCACAGCGUGCGUAACGAGACGCUAAUUAACCCCCCCCCCCGACAGCUAACGAACCCCGCUAAUGGCUAACUGCCCCCCGCCGGGGCUAAUUGCCCCACUGGUGGCCCCCUGCUAAUGGCUAACUGCCCCCAGCUGACAGCUGAAAUUGCCCCUGGGCCGAUCGCUAAUUGCCCCUGAGUAAUUGCUAAUUACCCUGGCCAAGGGCUAAUUGGCCUGGGCUGAUAGCUAAUUGCCCCUGACCAAUUGCUAAUUACUCUAGGCUAAUGGCUAAUUACCCCUGGCUGUUCACUAAUCACCCCCUAAUUAAGGCCCCACUCACAAAUGACCCAUUCCCCCCCCUUUCACCUCCGAGUCAGUGGGCGGGGCUCCCCAGCUGUCAAUCACAUGCAGUAGGCGGGGCAGGGGGCGUGUCCCCGUCUGACCCCGCCCUCUCCCCCCCCAGUGCGACCCCAACCUGCAGGUGUACAACGUCUUCAUCGAGAACCUGGACGAGCGCCUGCCGCGCAUCGCCCUGUUCGCCACGCGCCCCAUCCGCGCCGGCGAGGAGCUCACCUUCGACUACAACAUGCACGUGGACCCGGUGGACGCCGAGAGCACCCGCAUGGACUCCAACUUCGGGCUGGCGGGGGGGGGCCUGGGGGGCUCCCCCCGCUCCCGGGGCCGCAUCGAGUGCAAGUGCGGGGCCGCCGCGUGCCGCAAGUACCUUUUCUGACCCAAAACCCACAGCGGGGGUGCAAAACAAGGCUUGUUGAACGCAGCUGGGGGGUCCGUGCCUUGCCGGGGAGGGGGGGGGGGGGGGGGGUUUCAGGCGUGCUGGCGGCGCCAGACGAUGACGGUGCCGGUGGCGUCGCUGGAGGCCAGCAGGCUCUCGUCGCAGUUGAAGGCCACGGCCAGCACGGCGCCGCCGUGGCCCUGCAGGGUGUUGACCGUGGCCCGGGCCGAGCGCCCCACGUCGAAGAAAUGCACGCAGGCGUCCUCGCUGCCCGUCACUGA
This 1203-nucleotide long non-coding RNA is filed under the name Anas platyrhynchos platyrhynchos (common mallard). Its description in RNAcentral is "lncRNA (ENSAPLG00000024145.1)". Lineage: Eukaryota; Metazoa; Chordata; Aves; Anseriformes; Anatidae. The record is from RNAcentral.